Molecule: non-coding RNA, 30 nt
Filed under: Bombyx mori (domestic silkworm)
Lineage: Eukaryota; Metazoa; Arthropoda; Insecta; Lepidoptera; Bombycidae
Source: RNAcentral
ACGGACUUAAACAAGCACCAAGGUGCUGGA